AAAAUUAGAGUGUUCAAAGCAGGCAGAUCCAAUUUUCUGCCACCGAAUACAUUAGCAUGGGAUAAUGGAAUAGGACCCUGUCCUCCUAUUUUCAGUUGGUUUUGGCAGCGCGAGGACUAGGGUAAUGAUUAAUAGGGAUAGUUGGGGGCAUUAAUAUUUAAUUGUCAGAGGUGAAAUUCUUGGAUUUAUGAAAGAUUAACUUCUGCGAAAGCAUCUGCCAAGGAUGUUUUCAUUAAUCAAGAACGAAAGUUAGGGGAUCGAAGACGAUCAGAUACCGUCGUAGUCUUAACCAUAAACGAUGCCGACCAGCGAUUAGGAGACGUUGAAUACAAAACACCACCAUCGGCGCGGUCGUCCUUGGCGUGUCUCGGCUUCACGGCCGGGGCGCGCGAGGGCGGUUAGCCCA
RNAcentral lists this ribosomal RNA (406 nucleotides) under Acanthamoeba sp. RNAcentral describes it as "SSU rRNA". It matches the Rfam family "Eukaryotic small subunit ribosomal RNA", at positions 762 to 1115 of the family's 1831-position model. Lineage: Eukaryota; Discosea; Longamoebia; Acanthamoebidae. The record is from RNAcentral.